Molecule: ribosomal RNA, 365 nt
Filed under: Rhizobium sp. R-24260
Lineage: Bacteria; Pseudomonadati; Pseudomonadota; Alphaproteobacteria; Hyphomicrobiales; Rhizobiaceae
Description: bacterial SSU rRNA
Rfam family: Bacterial small subunit ribosomal RNA
Source: RNAcentral
AGUUUGAUCCUGGCUCAGAACGAACGCUGGCGGCAGGCUUAACACAUGCAAGUCGAACGCCCCGCAAGGGGAGUGGCAGACGGGUGAGUAACGCGUGGGAACAUACCCUUUCCUGCGGAAUAGCUCUGGGAAACUGGAAUUAAUACCGCAUACGCCCUACGGGGGAAAGAUUUAUCGGGGAAGGAUUGGCCCGCGUUGGAUUAGCUAGUUGGUGGGGUAAAGGCCUACCAAGGCGACGAUCCAUAGCUGGUCUGAGAGGAUGAUCAGCCACAUUGGGACUGAGACACGGCCCAAACUCCUACGGGAGGCAGCAGUGGGGAAUAUUGGACAAUGGGCGCAAGCCUGAUCCAGCCAUGCCGCGUGAG